Molecule: RNA transcript, 4313 nt
Organism: Vicia villosa (hairy vetch)
Lineage: Eukaryota; Viridiplantae; Streptophyta; Magnoliopsida; Fabales; Fabaceae
Exons: 13
Source: RefSeq, a predicted model, not a curated record
UCUAAUAACUCUCUUCUCUUUUUCUCACUGUCUAUCUCUUCUCUUUCUUCAUCUCUCUUUCUACAACAAACCCUAAUUUUCAUAAUCACAAAAUUUGACCUUAUUUUUCUCUCAUCCAUCAUAUCGUUCCGCUUCUUCUUCAAAAUGUUUCGGCAAUUUUGAUGUGAUGGUUUCUACUUUCAAAUGAAGCGGAUUUCGAUGGUUUAAUGGUGUUGGCUCAAGCUAAAAGGGGGGAGAUUCGCGGCGGUUUCAAAUCUGUGCUAUUUGAGAAACCCUAAUCCCAAUAUUUUCCUGUUUCAAAGCUGUGAUAUUUGAUUUGUAUGGGUGCGGUUUUUGGUUUCUGUUUCAAAGCUCAGAACAUAUUCACAUCGCUACCGAAGCAGAAGAACAACCAGAAUUUACGCUGAAUUUGUAAAGGUGUGUUUCGACGGUGAAGAAGAAACAUAUGAGUGGCGAAUGCACAUUAAGUCUUAUGAUCAUUGGUAAGCUACUAUAUCUCACUCAUUCUCGCCCGGAUAUUGUUUUCUCUGUUUGUAGGUUAAAACGUGAUGCUGAAAUGGAAUUUGAUCUUGGUUUCAACAAGCACUUGCAGGCAAGGGAGGUUGCUGAAUUCUUGGUAUGCUUUUUUUGCCUCUGGCAUACAUUGCUUGAUGUAUUAUAUUGAAUCUAAAGCUUUUGAUAUUAUGAAAGACUUGCAGCGAACGAAUUCUGUGACAGUUAUUGUGAAUAAUCUCAAACGCGAAUAGCGAAAUUUAGCGGUUUGUUCAAUUCUGCUAUAGUUAUGUUAUAGCUGUUAUUUGACAGCACCAGUAAUCUCCGAUUGAACGUGAUUGAUUCAAACACGCGUUGUUGAUGAAUGAUUGAAUUUAGUACAACUAAGAGGAUUAUACUAAAUAAAAUUGCAUGUGUUUUUCUCAGGAUGAAAUGAAGCAGCUUGCGAAGAGUGAGAGAAUGUCGGUUCAUGUGUCAUUGUUUUAUGCAGGGUAUCAUUGUUUUUGCAUUAGUAAUGGCGACCUUGAUUUCAUAUCCUGUGAUGCAAUUAUUUCUGUUUUUGAAACUAUUUUGUUAAUUGAUAUUCGUUUUUGUGUUCUUCAAUUAAUUUUCAUGUUGUAAGUUGUUGUAUGGAUUGCAGACCAGUAACGUAUCCGUGGUCCAUACCAUGAAGAACUGGACAUGUUUUCUUGUGUUCGUAUGAGCGUGGUCAUGUUAUAACUGUGCAAUAUGUUUUCUUCAAUUCCUCUUCGGUUUCUUAUCUCGGGUAUAAUUUAUUAUAUGUUUAUAAUUAGAUUAAAGCUCUUGAUUCCAGAAUUAAUAUUUAGAAUUGAAUUUGUAUUAACUUCUGCAAGAUUUGGACAUGUUAUGUUCCUGGAAAUUGUUUAUGAGCCAACCUUGAAGUGUGAUGCAGAGAAUGGAGAAUUUCUCACCUACUGCAGCAAAUAUAUUGUCUUCCAUAGCUAAAAUAGAUAGUUUUUUAUUGUGAUAGAGUGCAAGUCAGUUGCAUCUGGACUGACCGCAAUGGACUUUAGGCGAGUAUGUUGUGGUGGAUUACCUAUCGUGAAAGUAUCGUUUGUGCGGUUUCAUUAAUUGGAGUAUGUCAUCAUCAUCUCAUAGAUUAUGGAAAAAUUGAACAAAAAAACUCUCGCAAUACGGCUGAAAGUGUGAAGAGUCCACGCAAGAGUGGUGCUACGCUGACGGUUCCAGAGACUGUGUCGGUGGCUCUAAGAUUAAGGCGGUCCUCUGGAAGCACACUGAUAUGAAGUUAUUCGGAGCGGUCUGCGGAAUUUUUUAGUAGUUGAAGCUGAUACGUGGGGCCAUUUGUUAUCAUAGACUGCAGAGUAUCCAAACGUGGCUGUUUUCGGACCAAAUGUUACAAUUGGUUCCAGUAGAAGCUGCAAGUUGGUUUUGAAGGAUCGACCUUUAGUUUUUCUACUCUUUGUGAUGUAACUGAAAAUUGUUCAACAUUUAAAGAAUAUCUUGGUGCUGCAAUACUCAAUGGAAAAGAAAUAGACAUUUCUUUUGACAACUUCCCAUACUAUUUAAGCACACAAGGCACAUCAUGAAAGAUCCCAGUAUUGCUGAAUUUUGGUUGAUUCCCUUCCCACAAAUUAUGUAUGGAUUUACCUAUUGCGAUAAUGCAAAGCAGACAAUAUGGUCAGAGUACAAGGUUGUUGAUUCACAUAUAUCCUUCCUAUUUUUCAGUUUCAGCUUAACUAUUAAUGUAUUACUUUAGAUGUUAUGAGACUAACAUUAGUUCACAGUUUACUUGAGUCUGUGGAUAACAAUUUUCAGAUUGCACUAGGGGGUGUUAUUCCCGGGAUUUCUUCAAUAGAUAUGGUGAUUUGAGACAUAUUAGUCGCUUGCGAUUCUGGCCUUUAACUAAAGUGCUCACGAAGAAGUAUGAUUUUAGUGAGAAAGAUGACAUGAGUGACUUUUUGGUUUCUAUCCUUGACUUUGUUCCUGAGAAACGACCUACAGCUGCAAUUUUAGUCAGGAGAAUUUUUAAACGCUUCCUUCGCAAGUUUUUUCUUCUGAAUUUCAGUCAAAGAAAUUGGUCAUAAUUGUUUUGGAUCUGAUUACUAUUUUAUUUAAAAGAAUAUGUGUGAAAAAAAUGCUUUAUCUGUAUGCAGGUAUCUAUGAAUCAAAAGGAAUUCAUGUUGCCACUUAUUGUCAAGACAACAGGCUCUUGACCUAAGAGAAGUAAGGGGAGGUGAUGAUAUGAGAUUUAAUCACCUUUGCAAAAAGCUAGGAGUGAAGCUGAUGGGAACAAAAGGAUUGCGGCUAAAUGCUGAUUCUCUCAUUGCUUCUAUUAAAGCUGAGAGGGGCAGCCGUGAACCUGUUUCAACUUCUAUGUCUCUUAAAUCAGGGGUGUCAAAACUAAAAGCAGGCAUUAUGAAGCGAAAGAUAAUCAGGUUUGAGCAUAAUUUCUUGAUAUUCAGUUAUAAUAUCUGGCUUCUCAAAUCAUAAGCUGUUCGAUUUGAUAUUAAAUUGUAGCUUAAUCAUAUUGAUUUACUCAGAAAGGCAAAGUUGGUGAAGAAAAGCAAUGGAUCCAUACGUUAAAGAAUCAGUUAGUUAGAGGUUUGAAUUUGACUGUUAAAACCAAAAAGUUAGUUACUGAUUUUGUUACAAAGUUAGUUGUGUAAGGUUGAUAGUUAGGAGUUAAUAGCUUGGUAAAAACAAUUAAUUAGAAGCCUAAUUACUAGGUUAAUAGCAGAGUUAACAACUUUGAGUCUUUGUUAUAUGUCUCUGAAUGGCCAAUUAAUGGAGACUGUGUGGAAAUGUGAGGACCUUAUGGACUAUGUGUGUACAUGAUAAGAAAUAAUGUUAAGUUGUUUGGUCUGUCAUGUCAUGUUAUCUUAUUUUUUUCUAUUGAAGAGAACAUAUGCAAGGAUGCUUUGUAUGGAUGUUGCAGAUGCUUUGAAUGUUUAGACUGAUUUUUGGAAUGAACGAGAUUGUUAGUGAAUAAAAUGUGUAACUGCAUAGUGGACAGCCAUGUAGUGCAAAUUCUCUACUUAGGAGUAUGAAAAUUGUCGGUCAUGUGGUCUCCGAUUCGAUAGUGGAAGAGGUGAGUCAAGCAUACAAAAGUGUGGAUUCUUUAGACGAUAGUCCCCCGUUGGAGUCACCGACAGUGUUCUGGUUAUAACAGAACUACUAGAGCCACUUAUUUAUAUUGUUCCCUUGGUUACAAGAAAUAUUCACAUGGGAAAAAACAAUAAACAUUCUUGCUGCACCCCUUAUAAUCACCUAAAUGGAAUGGGUUAGAAAGGGAGCUGCAACAUUCUUGGUAUGGGUGAUAGUAAAUAUGCUUGAGGAAAGAGAGAAAAAGCUUAAUAAGCAGUGCAAUGAGAUAGUAAUCAGUAGAUCUAAUAUGGGUUCUGAUCAAUCUACAAUGGAUAGCAUUGUCUCACCCCAACGUGGAUUUUACACAGUUCAUAAGAUGAUGCAGAUAGCAAACAUAACAAUGUUAAAGAUAUGGUCUAUACUUAUUUCCAAGGCUGACAAGCAGGAGAGGAAAGCAAAAUUAACCAGGUCCGUUCCUGACUCUGCUGAUGCAGUAAAUAAUGUUUCCGAAGAAAUGACUACAAAGAAGAUUCGUUAUGCGCAUGAUAAUGAAGAAAUUUCGAACAAACUCUCUAAAGAAAUCUCAACGGGUGGUGGCAGACAAUGAAAUGGCUUUCUAAUUGUUGUUUGUUUUUAAAACUAAUUCAAUUUAUAAAUGGUGUCAUCACUUAGAAUAAACUAACAUACAUUUUAAAUGUGCACAGUUAAUAAGAAAUAUUAAAAUCAUUUAUAUAUUUUGGUUGAUUAAUAAGAAA